GCAAAACCCCAAUCUGGCUCCUACAAAGUGUAUGUGACAAGAUGAUUAACGUUUGCUUUUGUUAAAUCAGGGCUUCCCCAGCCAGGACUUUGGCUCAGACUGUGGCAUAUUCAUGUUGAUGGUAGGUCAUAACGAGCUGUAAUGCACAAAUAUUGUAUCUAGAAUAACUUUCCAACAUGGACUUUUUUAAAGUUAUCUCACAUGUUGUCUCAUAAUUUUUUUUUAAAGUCUGCCAUGUACAUCGUUAUGGAGUCACAGUUUGACUACUCAGUUGUAAGUACUUUUCAACACGCAGUGUCAUCCUCAAGAUUGUAUUUUGUAUUGUGCACUAAAAUGAAAUACAAACAACAAUUUCAGCAUGACAUGCCUGUUUGGCGGCGAUGGUGGUGCCUGUUGCUCCUGGAGAACAAUUCUUUGAACAGGUAGACAGUUUAAGUAAACUAGAUGUCCUAAUUAACUGGAAGACAAUCAAUAUAUUGUACUUAAAGACAUAUUGUCAUUACAGUUGUGGGAAAAUCUUCACCCACUGGACCAAAGAAUGUCAAGAGCUCAUUGCUGGAAAGCAUACUCCGGUCUUCAGUCUAAAGAGGAAGGCAGAGCAGCAGGACAUAGAGGUUAGAAAAUUGCCUUGUAAAAACAGUAUUAUCUCAGUGGGAGUCCUUCAAAAUGCACACAGUUGUAUGGAUCAACAUUGUCUCGAUGUAUUUGGUAAUUGAUGUUACUUUUCAAAUUGCCUUGUCAAGGAAACCAUGACGCAGACGGUAUCGGAUGUCCAAAGAAUGUGCAUGGCAGAUUCAAUGCAAUUCUGUGUCUACCAGACAUCGAACAACACAGGAGAGAGGUGUGUUGCAGACUCAAUUUAAUAAAUGCAAUUAUCGGGGCCUAUUCAGUGAUUUUCCAUGAAGUGACCACUUUUACAUAUAGUUUAAAUGCACGAAUCAUGCAGGAAAAUUAUUUAUACAUUCAAAUGUGCUGCAGAGGUAUAAUCAAUUGGACAGCGUGUUUGUUUAAUAUUAUGUUUGUCUCUCAUUUGAUCAGAUUGCUUUACCCUGAGGUAAACGUCAUAAAAUGGGUCCAGUGCAAGACGUGCAGGGGCUGGCUGCAUCAGGAUUGUGCUGGGAUUGAAAUGGAGCCGUUUGACUGCGGGUGCGAGG
RNAcentral lists this long non-coding RNA (1154 nucleotides) under Xyrichtys novacula (pearly razorfish). Lineage: Eukaryota; Metazoa; Chordata; Actinopteri; Labriformes; Labridae. The record is from RNAcentral.